UACGGAGGGGGCUAGCGUUGUUCGGAAUUACUGGGCGUAAAGCGCGCGUAGGCGGCUUUGUAAGUUAGAGGUGAAAGCCCGGAGCUUAACUCCGGAACUGCCUUUAAGACUGCAUCGCUAGAAUCGUGGAGAGGUGAGUGGAAUUCCGAGUGUAGAGGUGAAAUUCGUAGAUAUUCGCAAGAACACCAGUGGCGAAGGCGGCUCACUGGCCCGAUACUGACGCUGAGGUGCGAAAGCGUGGGGAGCAAACAGG
RNAcentral lists this ribosomal RNA (253 nucleotides) under uncultured bacterium. Its description in RNAcentral is "partial 16S ribosomal RNA". It matches the Rfam family "Bacterial small subunit ribosomal RNA", at positions 524 to 776 of the family's 1533-position model. The record is from RNAcentral.